RNAcentral lists this ribosomal RNA (477 nucleotides) under uncultured bacterium. RNAcentral describes it as "partial 16S ribosomal RNA". It matches the Rfam family "Bacterial small subunit ribosomal RNA", at positions 28 to 507 of the family's 1533-position model. The record is from RNAcentral.
GAUUAACGCUGGCGGCGUGCAUAACACAUGCAAGUCGAACGAUGAAACUUAGUAGACUUCUUCGGAAAGACACUAAGCGGAUUAGUGGCGAACGGGUGAGUAACGCGUGAGUAACCUGCCUUACACAAGGGGAUAGCCUUUGGAAACGAAGAAUAAUACCCUAUAAAACUAUAAAAGCACAUGCUAGAAUGGUCAAAGUGCUAGCGGUGUAAGAUGGACUUGCGUCUGAUUAGCUAGUUGGUGAGAUAAAAGCUCACCAAGGCAACGAUCAGUAGCCGGCUUGAGAGAGUGUACGGCCACAUUGGGACUGAGACACGGCCCAGACUCCUACGGGAGGCAGCAGUGGGGAAUUUUGCGCAAUGGGGGAAACCCUGAUGCAGCGACGCCGCGUGAUUUAGAAGGCCUUCGGGUUGUAAAAAUCUUUUGUAUAGGAAGAAAAUGACAGUACUAUACGAAUAAGGUCCGGCUAAUUACGUG